GGGUGUUGUUUGAUUGAAGAAUUAAAUUGUAUGAUAACUUACCACUGAAAGAUAUUUUGAUAAUUUUUAUCAAAUUCUAUCUCUUUUGGAUAGUCAUAACAUAUUGCUAGACAUCAAUCUUGACUUGUGGACUCAUAAGAAUUAAAAGAGUUUAAUUCGAGAAUUAAUUAGGAAGAGUCCUAGUUAAUUGAGAUAUUUGGACUGACCUAGUCUAAUUGGAUUAGGAUUUGAUCAAGAGCUUGAGUCC
RNAcentral lists this long non-coding RNA (247 nucleotides) under Elaeis guineensis (African oil palm). RNAcentral's name for it is "long non-coding RNA (EGUI_LNC023289)". The record is from RNAcentral. Lineage: Eukaryota; Viridiplantae; Streptophyta; Magnoliopsida; Arecales; Arecaceae.